CGCACCUUGCGCCCUUUGGUAUUCCGAAGGGCAUGCCUGUUUGAGUGUCAUUAAAUUCUCAAGCCUUUGCGUUUUCGCUAAGGAUUGGAUGUGGGGGUUGCUGGACUCGUUAGAGAUCAGCUCCUCUGAAAUGUAUUAGCAGAAACCGUUUGACUUUGAAUGCUAGGCUGUGAUAAUAUCUACAGCUUGGUAGUCUUGUCGGAAUACAAGUAGAAUCGGCUUGGAGGGUGCUUAACGGCUCCUGCUUUCUCUCUUUGCGGGGAGAUACUUGUCCGAUUUUUUUUUGUAGAAGGAUUCAGCUUCUAAUAGUCCUUGGACAAUUUAUUGACUUAUUUGACCUCAAAUCAGGUAGGACUACCCGCUGAACUUAA
RNAcentral lists this unclassified non-coding RNA (371 nucleotides) under Armillaria sp. RNAcentral's name for it is "partial contains 5.8S ribosomal RNA, internal transcribed spacer 2, and large subunit ribosomal RNA". Lineage: Eukaryota; Fungi; Basidiomycota; Agaricomycetes; Agaricales; Physalacriaceae. The record is from RNAcentral.